GUGGGGAAUAUUGGACAAUGGGGGCAACCCUGAUCCAGCCAUGCCGCGUGUGUGAAGAAGGCCUUUUGGUUGUAAAGCACUUUAAGCGAGGAGGAGGCUUACCUGGUUAAUACCUGGGAUAAGUGGACGUUACUCGCAGAAUAAGCACCGGCUAACUCUGUGCCAGCAGCCGCGGUAAUACAGAGGGUGCAAGCGUUAAUCGGAUUUACUGGGCGUAAAGCGCGCGUAGGUGGCUAAUUAAGUCAAAUGUGAAAUCCCCGAGCUUAACUUGGGAAUUGCAUUCGAUACUGGUUAGCUAGAGUAUGGGAGAGGAUGGUAGAAUUCCAGGUGUAGCGGUGAAAUGCGUAGAGAUCUGGAGGAAUACCGAUGGCGAAGGCAGCCAUCUGGCCUAAUACUGACACUGAGGUGCGAAAGCAUGGGGAGCAAACAGGAUUAGAUACCCUUGUAGUCC
RNAcentral lists this ribosomal RNA (451 nucleotides) under uncultured bacterium. RNAcentral describes it as "partial 16S ribosomal RNA". It matches the Rfam family "Bacterial small subunit ribosomal RNA", at positions 354 to 796 of the family's 1533-position model. The record is from RNAcentral.